UACGUAGGGGGCAAGCGUUGUCCGGAAUUAUUGGGCGUAAAGAGCGCGUAGGCGGUCCGAUAAGUCGGCUGUGAAAGUCAGGGGCUCAACCCUUGGAAGCCGGCCGAUACUGUCGGACUAGAGUCCGGAAGAGGCGAGUGGAAUUCCCGGUGUAGCGGUGAAAUGCGCAGAUAUCGGGAGGAACACCGAUGGCGAAGGCAGGUCUCUGGGCAUUAACUGACGCUGAGGAGCGAAAGCAUGGGGAGCGAACAGG
This 253-nucleotide ribosomal RNA is filed under the name uncultured bacterium. RNAcentral's name for it is "partial 16S ribosomal RNA". It matches the Rfam family "Bacterial small subunit ribosomal RNA", at positions 524 to 776 of the family's 1533-position model. The record is from RNAcentral.